CGCUGCCUGCCCUGCUGAGCCCGACUUCUCCAGCCUGUCCCAGUGCAGACUGGUGAGCCUUGCCCGGGGUUGCACUCAAAUAAAGUGCCUGGCCCUUUGUUGCCUCUCAUCACCUGCUUAUUUCAGUUAAAAUUUAUCUUACAUUUGGUGCCAAAAAACCCGGGAAGGGGCUUGAGCGCAGGGCCCCAACCAGCCAUCAGCAGCCCCGCCCCCUCCUUCCCCGACCCGGGACCUCAGCCUGCUCUCCUCCGCGUGGACUAUUUUCCGGCUGCCUGCUAUGAACAAGCCUCAGUCUGUCUCAUUGUCCGGACUGCAGUACUAGACGGGGCAAAACCUCGGUGAUCAUGCUAGAUAUAUCUGUCCUGAGAUUCGAAGACGACAUAUCUGCUAGAACUUCCAGCCACCGAUAGAGAGGUCGGACAGUAGAAGUGCACACGACCAUGUGGGUACAUCAGUACUCGUGCCUUCCCUCCAAGCCGCCUCUGGCCUCCCACCAGCCUCAACGCUACCUGCGCUGCCCCUCCUCAGCCAGAAGUAGCCAGAUUGAGUCAGCGCCCAUUAUAACCAAAAGGCUGGAAUGUAAGGUUGGAGGCACUGGGGGGAGAGGUGAGCAGAUCGGACACUGAUGAUGUGCCAAAGUCCCCGGCUGCUGCCCCCUCCCAACCCGAAAAAUGUGCCUUGGGCUGGCCAAUCCUCGCGCCGCUGUAAAUCUAAGCUCCGCCUCCCCCUGCCUUCUUUAAAAACUCGCUGCCUGCCCUGCUGAGUGCGGCUUCUCCAGCCUGUCCCAGUGCAGACUGGUGAGCCUCGCCCGGGAUUGCACUCAAAUAAACCGCCUGUCCCUUU
Molecule: long non-coding RNA, 843 nt
Organism: Manis javanica (Malayan pangolin)
Lineage: Eukaryota; Metazoa; Chordata; Mammalia; Pholidota; Manidae
Source: RefSeq, a predicted model, not a curated record